UACGUAGGGGGCAAGCGUUAUCCGGAUUUACUGGGUGUAGAGGGAGCGUAGACGGCACUGCAAGUCUGGAGUGAAAGCCCGUGGCCCAACCACGGGACUGCUCUGGAAACUGUGUUGCUGGAGUGCAGGAGGGGUAAGCGGAAUUCCUAGUGUAGCGGUGAAAUGCGUAGAUAUUAGGAGGAACACCGGUGGCGAAGGCGGCUUACUGGACUGUAACUGACGUUGAGGCUCGAAAGCGUGGGGAGCAAACAGG
RNAcentral lists this ribosomal RNA (253 nucleotides) under uncultured bacterium. Its description in RNAcentral is "partial 16S ribosomal RNA". It matches the Rfam family "Bacterial small subunit ribosomal RNA", at positions 524 to 776 of the family's 1533-position model. The record is from RNAcentral.